RNAcentral lists this signal recognition particle RNA (96 nucleotides) under Streptococcus suis. Its description in RNAcentral is "signal recognition particle sRNA small type". It matches the Rfam family "Bacterial small signal recognition particle RNA". From Rfam's summary of the family: The signal recognition particle (SRP) is a universally conserved ribonucleoprotein involved in the co-translational targeting of proteins to membranes. Archaeal SRP consists of a 7S RNA and homologues of the eukaryotic SRP19 and SRP54 proteins. In most bacteria, the SRP consists of a 4.5S RNA and the Ffh protein (a homologue of the eukaryotic SRP54 protein). The record is from RNAcentral. Lineage: Bacteria; Bacillati; Bacillota; Bacilli; Lactobacillales; Streptococcaceae.
UAAUGAUAAUGGAGCAACAGUCGUGCGUGAAGUGGGUCAGGGGAGGAAUCCAGCAGCCCUAAGCGAGGUCGAUUGUGUGCUCUUUUUGCGUACAGU